This 154-nucleotide small nuclear RNA is filed under the name Trametes cinnabarina. RNAcentral's name for it is "Pycnoporus cinnabarinus U4 spliceosomal RNA". The stretch from base 1 to 130 matches the Rfam family "U4 spliceosomal RNA". Rfam says of the family: U4 small nuclear RNA (U4 snRNA) is a component of the major U2-dependent spliceosome. The structure of U4 snRNA from yeast and human has been reported. The record is from Rfam by way of RNAcentral. Lineage: Eukaryota; Fungi; Basidiomycota; Agaricomycetes; Polyporales; Polyporaceae.
AUUCUUGUGCUCGGGCACGUACUGUCGCCAGUGAGGUCUUUACCGAGGCACAGUCUUUUGCUGAUUGCAAAUUACACAUCCGAACACGUCUGUCGGCUUCGGCCUUCAGCAAUUUUUGGAAAAUCCUCCUCCGCCUCUACGCCGGCUCUCGGGU